UACGGAAGGCAGCAGUGGGGAAUAUUGCACAAUGGGCGCAAGCCUGAUGCAGCCAUGCCGCGUGUAUGAAGAAGGCCUUCGGGUUGUAAAGUACUUUCAGUCGUGAGGAAGGUGUUAAGGUUAAUAACCUUAGCAAUUGACGUUAGCGACAGAAGAAGCACCGGCUAACUCCGUGCCAGCAGCCGCGGUAAUACGGAGGGUGCGAGCGUUAAUCGGAAUUACUGGGCGUAAAGGGCACGCAGGCGGUUAAUUAAGUUGGAUGUGAAAUCCCCGGGCUUAACCUGGGAAUGGCAUUCAAGACUGGUUAGCUAGAGUCUUGUAGAGGGGGUAGAAUUCCAUGUGUAGCGGUGAAAUGCGUAGAGAUGUGGAGGAAUACCGGUGGCGAAGGCGGCCCCUGGACAAGACUGACGCUCAUGUGCGAAAGCUGGGGAGCAAAC
RNAcentral lists this ribosomal RNA (437 nucleotides) under uncultured bacterium. Its description in RNAcentral is "bacterial SSU rRNA". It matches the Rfam family "Bacterial small subunit ribosomal RNA", at positions 340 to 773 of the family's 1533-position model. The record is from RNAcentral.